This 241-nucleotide unclassified non-coding RNA is filed under the name Hevea brasiliensis (rubber tree). Lineage: Eukaryota; Viridiplantae; Streptophyta; Magnoliopsida; Malpighiales; Euphorbiaceae. The record is from RNAcentral.
GUUUCAAACAGAAGUAGAGAUGAUCAGCAUGGCUGUGCAUCGGAACCUGCUACGGCUACGUGGGUUUUGCAUGACGCCAACUGAACGACUUCUUGUUUACCCCUACAUGGCCAAUGGAAGUGUUGCGUCUUGCUUAAGAGAACGACCACCAUCCCAACCACCUCUUGAUUGGAGAACGAGAAAGCGAAUUGCAUUGGGAUCUGCGAGAGGGCUGUCUUAUUUGCAUGAUCACUGUGAUCCG